Molecule: ribosomal RNA, 784 nt
Filed under: uncultured bacterium
Lineage: Bacteria
Description: bacterial SSU rRNA
Rfam family: Bacterial small subunit ribosomal RNA
Source: RNAcentral
AGAGUUUGAUCCUGGCUCAGAACGAACGUUGGCGGCGUGGAUUAGGCAUGCAAGUCGAACGAAUCCCGGAGGGGUAACUCUCUGGGGGAAGUGGCGAAAGGGGCAGUAAAGCGUGGGUAACCUACCCUAGGGACUGGGAUAGCCGUCCUAACGGACGGGUAAUACCGGGCGACGUGUCGAGAAGGCAUCUUUUGGACACCAAAUGAAUUUCGCCCUAGGCGGGGCUCACGUAGUAUUAGCUUGUUGGUGAGGUAACGGCUCACCAAGGCCAAGAUGCUUAGCGGGUGUGAGAGCACGACCCGCGCCACUGGCACUGUGACACUGGCCAGACUCCUACGGGAGGCUGCAGUCGAGGAUCUUCGGCAAUGGGCGCAAGCCUGACCGAGCGACGCCGCGUGUGCGAUGAAGGCCUUCGGGUUGUAAAGCACUGUCGAGGGGGAGGAAAGCUCGCAAGAGUUUGACCUAUCCCUGGAGGAAGCACGGGCUAAGUUCGUGCCAGCAGCCGCGGUAAGACGAACCGUGCGAACGUUGUUCGGAUUCACUGGGCUUAAAGGGCGCGUAGGCGGGCGGGCAAGUCUGGGGUGAAAUCUUUCAGCUUAACUGGAAAAGUGCCUCGGAUACUGCUUGUCUCGAGUGGGGUAGGGGCAUGUGGAACUUCCGGUGGAGCGGUGAAAUGCGUAGAUAUCGGAAGGAACGCCGGUGGCGAAAGCGACGUGCUGGACCCUUUCUGACGCUGAGGCGCGAAAGCCAGGGGAGCAAACGGGAUUAGAUACCCCGGUAGUCC